RNAcentral lists this ribosomal RNA (502 nucleotides) under uncultured bacterium. Its description in RNAcentral is "partial 16S ribosomal RNA". It matches the Rfam family "Bacterial small subunit ribosomal RNA", at positions 355 to 868 of the family's 1533-position model. The record is from RNAcentral.
UGGGGAAUAUUGCACAAUGGGCGAAAGCCUGAUGCAGCGACGCCGCGUGCGGGAUGAAGGCCUUCGGGUUGUAAACCGCUUUUAAUUGGGAGCAAGCGAGAGUGAGUGUACCUUUUGAAUAAGCACCGGCUAACUACGUGCCAGCAGCCGCGGUAAUACGUAGGGUGCAAGCGUUAUCCGGAAUUAUUGGGCGUAAAGAGCUCGUAGGCGGUUUGUCACGCCUGGUGUGAAAGUCCAUCGCUUAACGGUGGAUCUGCGCCGGGUACGGGCAGGCUAGAGUGCAGUAGGGGAGAUUGGAAUUCCCGGUGUAACGGUGGAAUGUGUAGAUAUCGGGAAGAACACCAAUGGCGAAGGCAGAUCUCUGGGCUGUUACUGACGCUGAGGAGCGAAAGCAUGGGGAGCGAACAGGAUUAGAUACCCUGGUAGUCCAUGCCGUAAACGGUGGAUGCUGGAUGUGGGACCCUUCCACGGGUUCCGUGUCGGAGCUAACGCGUUAAGCAUC